This 79-nucleotide microRNA precursor is filed under the name Branchiostoma floridae (Florida lancelet). RNAcentral's name for it is "mir-4868 microRNA precursor family". It matches the Rfam family "mir-4868 microRNA precursor family". Lineage: Eukaryota; Metazoa; Chordata; Leptocardii; Amphioxiformes; Branchiostomatidae. The record is from Rfam by way of RNAcentral.
UGUCGGCUUCCCUCAUCACACCGGAAGCUGUUACGUCACUUCCGCUGUAUCAGCUCCAGCUGUGAUGAGUGAAGGGGCA